Molecule: ribosomal RNA, 433 nt
Filed under: uncultured bacterium
Lineage: Bacteria
Description: partial 16S ribosomal RNA
Rfam family: Bacterial small subunit ribosomal RNA
Source: RNAcentral
AACGAACGCUGGCGGCAUGCCUAACACAUGCAAGUCGAACGAGACCUUCGGGUCUAGUGGCGCCCGGGUGCGUCACGCGUGGGAACCUUCCCUUAUGUUCGGCAUAACUCUCCGAAAGGGGUGCUAAUGCCGGAUAAUGUCUUCUGACCAAAGAUUUAUCGCCUUUGGAUGGGCCCGCGUUGGAUUAGCUAGUUGGUAGGGUAAAAGCAUACCACGGCGACGAUCCAUAGCUGGUCUGAGAGGAUGAUCAGCCACACCGGGACUGAGACACGGCCCAGACUCCUACGGGAGGCAGCAGUGGGGAAUAUUGGAAAAUGGGCGGAAGGCUGAUCCAGCAAUGCCGCGUGAGUGAUGAAGGCCUUAGAGUUGUAAAGCUCUUUUACCCGGGAUGAUAAUGACAGUACCGGGAGAAUAAGCUCCGGCUAACUCCGUG